RNAcentral lists this transfer RNA (96 nucleotides) under Paraburkholderia caledonica. It matches the Rfam family "tRNA". Rfam says of the family: Transfer RNA (tRNA) molecules are approximately 80 nucleotides in length. Their secondary structure includes four short double-helical elements and three loops (D, anti-codon, and T loops). The record is from RNAcentral. RNAcentral also lists the same sequence under 1 other name. Lineage: Bacteria; Pseudomonadati; Pseudomonadota; Betaproteobacteria; Burkholderiales; Burkholderiaceae.
GGGCCUAUCGUCUAAUGGUAGGAUACGAGUCUUUAUUGCGACGAGGUUCGCGUUUUCCUAAUUCUCGUGAAGGUGGUUCGAUUCCACCAUGGCCCG